GUCAGGAUUUGAAGUCACAUGAAUCUAAACUAAAUGAGUCCAGCUGCUGUUCUCAGAUCUACAGGAGGAGAGAAUCUGGGUGGAGAAUCACAGAAAACUUCUUACUUCAUGUUGUCGAACUGUUCCCUCAGUGUCUGGCAGAUCUUUUCAAUGGCCUUAGCUGUAUCUCUCAGUGAUUGGCUCGCUUCAGUCACAUGAUUAUUCUUGAUCUGGUCUUUCCAGUUGUCAAUCGCCUCAGGAAGUUCAAACGCCAGUCCAACAGCUCCUCCUACAACCUGAUGAUGAAUAUGGAUCAACACGUGAUUCAUUUUCAAUAUUAUCAGACUGUCAGCCUCAGAACACGUGUCCCAAAAUCAUUAAAAAAAACGAUAAUUAACAAUCACAAAUAAAGAAAUGCUGUUAUUUAAUUUUAAAAUGAUUUAUGAGAUUUAAUUAUGAAACAAUUCAUGUGUGUAUAGUUAGUGAAUCUUACCAUAGCGCCUCCUUUAAAGGCUGUUUUACAUCCAGUCUUAGCCAUGUCUUUGGUGAGUUUUUUUGCUCCUUCUUCAGCAAUUUUAAUCAUUGGUAUGGUGAAUUCUUUAGCUCCUUUAUUAAACAAAUGUUUGUAUAUUUUCCCAUUAACUUUAAAUGUGAAAAAUUGUAAAAUAUUGGCAAGUUUUACUACCAGUGCAACUUUCACUGCAGGUCUGAGUAAGAUCUGGUUGAUGUUUCUCUUUAUUGCAACAAAAAUCCUCUUGAAAUUCAAUGCCAUUUCAGUCCACAUCUUCUGGCCAGGCCUUUCAGAAUGUCAGUUAUGACGUGUUGGUGGUCCACUUCAUCUGGGUCAGUGGAGGAACUCUCAACCUUCAGUUGCUUGAACAGAUCCUGGAUUUCUUCUGCAACCUCUUUGCUCUUCUUUUCAAUCUCUGCGCCUCUUUAAUGGUGUCACUGGAUUUGAAGCCCUCAAUGAUUUUAGUACCCACAGAUACAGUGGCACCUGCACCUGUACACACUGCUCCUGCCAUACCUAAAAGUGGAGCAGCUGCACCGCCGGUGAACAAAGUGGCCACACCGGCUGCGAUCAUACAUGCAGAUCCAGCCACUGACACUGUGGUUCCAACACAUUCACUGAUAUUACAAUUCUUUCUGCAUGACUCCAGCUCUUUGGCCAGUUUCCUCAGCUGCUCUGCACAGCACUCCCUCUGAUCGAUCCAGGAGAACAUCAACUCCAGCAGCUGGUCCGCGAUGGCCAUGAUGUAGGUCUCUGUGUCCUUCUGAUCCUCCAACCAGAGACCAGACAACUGAGAACAAGUCUGAAAGAAGAAAGUCCCUUUGAAUUAUCUGGUGCAACUAAAAACAUCUCCAUGACACCUGAGUAAACUGUAUCUGCUGAUGAAGACCAUGAAACACAAGUAAAAGCCCCAAAGAGGCCCUUGAGUUAAAUUUCCUUGUCAAACUUGUCAGGUCAAGAAUUAAUUUUUUACAUUAGAAAUCAUUUAAAGCAGCUGGUUUAACAAACUGUAGAACUGUAAAAUAACUUCUCUUUAAAUGUUUUUGAUGAAGUGAGUUAACACACAAGAAAGAAAAAAUGAGUAGCAAGAAAAGUUAAUUCAUCAUGUUUUGCUAAAACUGGGAGAUUAGAGUGCAUCUAAUUUCUCCAGUUUAACAGAGUAAAAACCACGUCUGACUGUCAGUGUAUUUGCACAAUAAACUUCCUCAUAGCUACACAUACACACUGUAACCCCUAUACAGGAAGGAUUACAGAACACACACGAUAGGAUCACAUCAUUGCCAUGUUCUUAAGAAAUUAAAUAUCUUAAGUUUUAAUAAUUUCAUUUAAUUUGCUGAUCUUAAACUCAUCUAUAAAUGUCUACAUAUCCAGACUCCCCAGGUGCUCAUUUUAAACUUAAACAGUCUUUGGAAGAGAAUCUGUUGCCAUGAAUGAUCAGGUGUCUUUAAAGGCCCAUCUAGGGACUGGUUUUGAGUUUAGGCUACUGGAGUAAUGCAGGGUAUACGCAAGUAUAUGGGCUAUACCCACUUAUUUCUUUUCUAUUUUCAGAAUUGGGUAGAUCCACUUCUAAACCCCCUGUGAGGCUCAUCAAUCAGUAGUGUUCUGUGAGCUCAUUAUUUUUCCCUAGGAUGGACGAAGACAUGACAUACAGCAGUUUAAUGAGUGAAUGAAGUAAAGACUAAGGAAAAAUAAAUAAUAAUAAUAAAUAAAUAGUAUUUAUUGCAAGAUCUGCUCCUCUUCUGUGUCUAAUGUUAAUUUCAUAAUGAACCUUACUGCCGGAAGUCAACAGCAGUAGAAGUUAAGUGACAAGGUGCAAAUAUUACCUGCCCAUUUGUUAGUCAACUAUACAAAAGUAGUCUUCCCCUGUCACUGUUUGUAACACAGGGAGUUUAGCGUUUGUUUGAUGGGCUCCUUAGAAACAUUGGGGACAUAGAUAAAUGUGUAGCCACUUCUCCAGGCAGCACUACACAACUGGCUUCGGCUAUAAAUGCUGUGGUGUGUUGCAUUUGUUUAUGCUAUAUGCUAAGAUACAAACAAACAUAAAAAACAAGACACCUAAAUCAUCUCAAUGACAACUGAGCAAACUCCAUCCACUGAGGAAGGCCACAAGAUGUAGAUGAAAGCUCAAGAAACAGCCAUUAAUGUGGAGCUUGUGUUGAGAUUUUAUUGCUGAUCUGCUGUUUUAAAGAUCAAGAAUGAAACUUCAAGCUGACUAGAAUAUGAUGUGUCAUAAACUGAAGUAAAUAUGUUGGAGGAACAAAACACAGAGAAUGUAAUUGUAAUCUUACCUGCUGUGGAGCGUCACAGGUUAAAGUCCUUACCUUUUGUUGAGAGACAGGAGGCAAACACAUAUAGUUGCAUGUUUCUGUUUUUCUAUUGGCUGAUUCAGAAUCAGGUGUUACCAAAAGUAAAAGUGAAACUGCUGCAGUGGAAUUCCCCAGGACAGAUCUGUAAUAAAAACAUAUCUAUGAAUAUUAUAUUACAUUACACACUGGAUCCUAAACGCCUCAAUGUUAAAUGUUUUUAAACUGUAUUUUCAAAAUAUUUCAUGUCAUUUUUUAAGCAGGUGAAGUGUAAUUGAUCAAAAACAACCCAAAAAUGAAAUAAGACAAAACUCCUUCCUGCUCGGGAUAAAAAGGCAACGGGACGGUUACUUUAUUGAUGAACACAACAACGAAUACAUCAAGUUCUGGUAGCACUGUAAUAACAUUGGUCAUUACCAUAUUAAAAUGCUGAAAUUAAUCUUCCCUUAUGUUUCAAACAUUGCUUGGUGUUUCAAGGUAAUACUGUACAAAUAAUAUGUUUAAUGCUGUGACCUGUUAGCUGGAAACAACUGUUUCUGUUGAAUUUCUCACUAAUUAAUUAAUCACCAUUAAUGCAUGUUACUAACUUCACUUCUUCCCCGGAGUUCUUGUGCUUUCUUGUCUCACAGGUUCUUAUCAAUCCUGGUGGAGCCUCCUGCCAUGGUCCUGCUAGAUUGCCAUUGCCAAUACUGUUGUUGCUGUGCACCUGUCUGUCUCUCUCUCUCUCUCUCUCUCUCUCUCUCUCUCUCUCUCUCUCUCUCUCUCUCUCUCUCACCCCAACUGGUCGAGACAGACGACCACCCACCUAGAGCCGAAGGAUCUGUCCUAGGUUUCUGCCUUUUAACAGGCAGUUUUUCCUUGCCCUUGUCUCCAAGGUCUUGCUCAUGGUGGUACUGUUGGGUCUCUGUAAAUAAUGUUUUAAAGAGUUCGGUCUAGACCUGCUCUAUUUGAAAAGUGUCCUGAGAUAACUUCUGUUAUGAAUUGGCGCUAUACAAAUAAAAUUGAAUUGAAUUGAAUUGAAUUAAUUUCAACUAAACACAUUUCAUACGGUUGAUGUUUUGAACAUAUUUUACAUUUCAAACAAAUGUAUUUUAUUGGCAUAUUCACCAUUAUUUGUAUAUAACAUAAAGGGAUGAUUUGGAAACAAACCAACAGCAGAAUCAACACAAUCUCAGCAACUGUAUGCACACACACUAAAACUUGUACUACGAGUGUUUGGUAGUCGUUCCACAAUUUUCUGCAGACCUGUUGGACUGAUAGUAUCUGUAAAUUCCCUGAACAGGUGAGUCUCCCAGACAACAGAUCACGUGUACACUUUUUUAGGUACACUGGUACAAUCAAAGGCAGUCCAAUACAACAGCUCUGCCAUCAACUCUAUAUUUAGAGAGAUUAUAAUGUUGAGUUUCUGUUGACCCUGUCAGACAGGUUUACAGAUGUGAGGUGGGAGGGGUUAUUUCAGGUCAAAAAAACUAAGCAGUGAAUCAACUGCACUUAAAGAGUUUAUUUUAUUUAUGUUUUAUUUUAUUAUUUGGUUGUAGAGGUUGGAGGUACUGGGGGCUGUGGUUGAGGAGGUUGGAGGUACUGGGUGCUGUGGUUGAGGGGGUUGGGGUACUGGGGCUGUGGUUGAGGAGGUUGGAGGUACUGGGGCUG
Molecule: long non-coding RNA, 4443 nt
Filed under: Dicentrarchus labrax (European seabass)
Lineage: Eukaryota; Metazoa; Chordata; Actinopteri; Moronidae
Description: lncRNA (ENSDLAG00005032667.1)
Source: RNAcentral